Kogia breviceps (pygmy sperm whale) is the source of this 1626-nucleotide non-coding RNA. The record is from RefSeq and is a predicted model, not a curated record. Lineage: Eukaryota; Metazoa; Chordata; Mammalia; Artiodactyla; Physeteridae.
CCAGCGUGCCUCGCGUUUGCGAGCGGACCCGUGCGGGUUGCUCGGUGCUGCUGACGGAUCUCGGGGACCGCAGCGCCCGGACGCCGGACACAUUCUAUGGUCCGAGGACAAGGUUUUGGGGACAAACAUGCAUUUUUGCACACUGGACUUUUUCUUACCGUCUUCCAAGUAUUAGUGGUUUUCUGCAAGACGCACCUUCCCGAAAUAGUGCGGUGCUUUAGAGUGACGUUCCUCCCGUGCCAAGCGAUGUAUUAAACUUGGACCUUCUAAGCUACCCCGUCCUCGAUCGCGCCAAGCUCUUCAUAGGCUCGUUAUAGCGUGGGCUGCAGACAAACAGCUUCCUAAGUCCUUUGAGGAAAACUGGCCCGCGCAGACUCCCCAGAUGUCAAUUCAAAGAAUGUCGACGACCUUUUAGCUCCUCUCUUUGGAAAACCUUGCAAUAGAAGGAGGAUGGACCCCACCCAGAAACUGGUUCUGAUGUUGAGACGGAUGAGGCCACCAUCACACCAGGCUUGCGGGAUCUUAGUUCCCCGACUAUCUGGGAUCGAACCCGUGACGCCUGCAGUGGAAUCUUGGAGUCCUAACCACUGGACCGCCAGGGAAGUCCCUUGCAUGUCUUUCUUGUUUAAACCUAGCAAACUCCACUUAAUUUUAGGAUAACUUGUCAUAUUAAGCAAAAUUAAAUUCUAGCAUAAAAGUAAAUAUAGCAGAGAAAAGUCAGACUAUUUUAGGUUUGAAAGGGUGGGUAAUUACAGUGGACAUAAGAAGCUAAUUUAAUUUUUCUAACUAUUCCUUUAAAGAAAUGUGGAAAAAAGAAGAAAGGGGAAAUAAAGCAAAACAAGGUCUUGUCACCCCAAAUUCUAACCUUAACGCUCUGUCUUCUCCAGUGUCUUUUUAGUUACUUAGCUUGGCAACCACACCCGAGGGCACGCACUGGACCCGCUUCUCUCCCAAACUCAGUAAUUCAAACACCCUCUCCCAACCACGACCACUAUGACCAUUUUCAGUCUCAGUGUGAUCGGUGGGAGAAACCACUGAUUUCUCCGUUUCCUCGUUUCUUUUUGCUCCUCUCCUGCCCGGUGUAGAUUCCAUGUUACAUUAUUUCAUUUGCUCUUUCUUGAUCAUGUGGGCCACUCCCUUUUCUCUCGGCCUCUCCUAGCUCCUGUCUCCUAAAAUCCUCACCCAGAAUAAACUUUGUAAUUACCAUCCCUGGUAGUUACAUUCUGGGUUGGUGCUUUCUUUCCUGCAACAUUUAAAAUAUUUCAUUCCACUGUUUUCGUGCUUGCAUGGUUUCUGGUGAGAAAUCUGAUAUAAUUCAUAUCCUUAUUUUGCUAUGAAUCAAGUGUUCUUUUUCUCUGGCUUCUUUCAAGAUAUUUUCUUUGUCUUUGAUCUUCUGCAGUUUGAAUAUGAUAUGCUGAGGUGUUUUGGUAUUUAUCCUGCCUCUUGUUGUCUGCGAUUCCGGGAUCUGUGGUUUGGUGUAUGUCAUUGAUUUUGGAAAAUUGUCAGCAGUUAUUACUUCGAAUAUUUCUUCUGUUCCUUUUUCUCUUUCUUUUCUUCCUGGCAGUUCCAUUACACUAUGUUAUACCUUUUGUAGUGGUCUCAUAUUUUGUGGAUAUUCUAUUUCAU